RNA transcript from Toxotes jaculatrix (banded archerfish), 4742 nucleotides. It is a transcript of the gene named transcription factor 20-like, with no coding region annotated. The record is from RefSeq and is a predicted model, not a curated record. The transcript has 6 exons. Lineage: Eukaryota; Metazoa; Chordata; Actinopteri; Toxotidae.
AGAAGGUGUCCAUGAUGACAACUUUAAAAUACCAACAGUAGCCAGGAGCGUUGAAUUUACCUGCGAACGUUAUUUCAGCGAAAAUGUUUAUCGCUCGUUGUCGCGUCGAGUGUCGCCUCCGUUUGGAAAUAGCUUAGCCGGGCUAAGGCCAGCUAGCCAGCUAGCAUGAACUCGGGCCGUCGCUGCUUUUGUUUACAUCCAGUCCUGAUGAUGAUGGGCCCGGAGAGGUGUGUUAGCUAACCCCGCUACCAGAGCUGUUUCAGGGGGAAAGUGACAUUCUAAAGCCCGGAGGUCGACCAUCCAAACCGCCGCCACCUGAGGGUGAUGGAAGUGUCCUCACAGGAUCCAUCUCUCAUGGCUAUGGACCUGUCAAAGAGCUACAACCCCCUGACCCGCAGCCACACUGAAGCCAUGGACCUGGCGAAGAAGCCGGAGUGGUACCACCGACGCCCGCCGAGCUGCAACACAGACAUCACCUCCUCGUACAGGUCCAGAGCCUCGUCGUCCUACAACUCUCUCUCCACGCAGCCCGGAGCACCUGUCCACUGCAGAGACAUGGAGCAGAGUCCUGAGGCUUUGGGUAACUACAUGAAUUCAACACUAGCUUCGGGGCUGGAUAUGUACCAUGACAGAGUUCACAGCAACCUGUGGCAUCCGGGUUUCUACGGGCCUGACCAAAGCAGCGGCCAGGUUCCUGAAAGCAGCGGUGGAGAGGAGAGCGACAGCGGCUCUGAUGUUAUUUUCCUCGUUUCCUCAGCGAAGGAGCCACUCAUAUGCAGUUCUUUCAUCCAAGACAGCGUGAGGCACAUCGUGGAGCCUCUGUCCCCGGCCGUGUCCUCGCUGGAUGAAGGGAGAGGUUGCUAUCACCUACCUCAGCCUCUGAGCUCACCCAGUCCUGACAGCUCAUACUCAGAAGACUCCUCAGACAGCUCAGUGGACAUUCCUGUUCAUCACACCAGGCCUGUGGUCCUCCUGUCAGACCUCAGUGCCGUUUACGGCAACCCUGCUGAAUCUCCCGUCGAUAUUUCCAGCGAUGACAGCGACGUUAUCGAAGUUUCAGUCACUAAUGAGAAAAAGAAAAGCCACGCCUUUCCUUACAAGAAAAAUGUUCCUUGUAAGAAGAGUCUGGAGAGAGAAACUCCGGCUCAGAGAGAGGGGGAAAAGGCUUCGCCUAAGGAAGUACGACGUAGUACCAGAAUCAGAAGAUCUCUGACUGAAAUGCCUCAGUUUACCUGCAGUGUGUCUCGACACAGUUUGAGAAGACAGGUCAAAAACGAUGCCGUGGGUAUCUAUAAUGAAAGUUGUGAUUCGGAUGACAUGAUGGAAUACGCGGUGAGAUUGUCGAGCCCAGAGGCUGACGAGUCGGCCUCGCAGCCAAAUGUGUCACAAAGAGUGAGCAGCAAUUCAGAGGAGUCUGACGUGGACGCUCGGACAGAGAGGAAGUCACCGCAAAGGGACCAGCAGCCUCACUGCAAAGCUUCCUACAGGAAAAGCAUCAAACGAAAGAAGCCACUCGCCAUUUGUAAAACUAAAAAGUUAAGGAGAACUAAACAGAAACAAAAACACAGAAUCCCACCACAGCAGUACCAGAAGGCCUCAUCCUGCAGGAGCUCCUCAGUAAACAAAAAAACUGCCACAAGACGAAAGAGAAAAAGGCGAACUCAGAACGGACCUUCGGCUCUGUUUUCCCCCAGAGAGCCAGAAAUCAAGCUUAAAUAUGCAAAAAUUAAAGAGGAAAAAAAGGACAAGAAAUCAGGCGGUUUUUGUCCCUUUGUUCACAUGGAGCAGAGAGUGUGCACUGUUGUCAACUAUCAGGAAGAGGAGGCGACAGUACGGAGCAGCAGAGGACAGCAGCAGACAGCCACCAGGUCCCUGUCUGGAUUUGUUCCCAACACGUCCUGUUUCCAGCUGGGUCGGCUCAGCUCGGAGAGCAGAUGUCAGGCCACGCUGACGUGCUGCCUGUGCGGUCAGACGGCCAACGCCAUGGGCCUCGGGGACCUUCACGGCCCGUACUAUCCUAUCAGCUCGUCUGUGGACUGCCAGAACGGCAGGACUGAGCAGAAAGAGGAAGAAAACUUACAUGGACUCGCUAACAGCCAUCCAGUCGAUUCCUCAGAUGGUGGCUGUGAUGGUCGUGACCGCUCUGCUGUCAGAAGUUUGCGUGACAGCGACAACAACUCUCUCCCAAAGGUGCCUCUUCAACUGGAUGAGUGCUGGAUCCACGAGGACUGCGGUAUCUGGUCCGCGGGAGUCUUCCUUGUCAGAGGAAAGCUGUAUGGGUUAGAGGAGGCGGCCCGGCUCGCACAGGAAACAGUUUGUUCAACCUGCCAACAAACAGGUGCAAUAAUGGGCUGUUUCCAGAAGGGCUGUCCCAGAAACUUUCACUACAGAUGUGCCAUUCAGUCAGGCUGUGUCCUCAAUGAAGAGAACUUCUCAAUGAGAUGUACAGAGCACAAGAACAAACCGAGUGUAAACAGACAACACAAGAGAUGACGUGAAACGUGUGUGGGGGCACAGGAGGUAUGAGACAAUCAGUCCAUUGAUCGAUCAGAACAAUCCACAGAUCUCCUCAGGGUGCGACGAGAGCUGCCUGACUUCACCUCUGCUGUUUUAUAACACUAAUUAAUGUGUGUGCUCGAGCAGAAGGCAAACCUUCUGGUAAGAUUUCACUCGUCACGACAGACAGAUCAAACCAGGGGCCACUUUAGGAUUUUUAUGAGAAGUCUCGUUGUUUUGUUCUAUUUCUGUUCUUUCGUAGGUCUUUAACACAGGCAGUUACACCAAUUGGACUGAGCCAAGAUGGGGUGUGUGUGUGUGUGUGUGUGUGUGUGUGUGUGUGUGUGUGUGUGUGUUUGUCUGUGUCUGUGUGUGUGCACAUGUGCGUGGAAGUGUGUAUUUAUUCCUCCUCUUGAAGAUCCACACUUGGACUAGUUAAGUCACAAAUACAGUUUAUUAUUUGAACAUAAUAAUUAUACUAGAGUCUAAAUUAGCUUUAUUAAUUUGUUGUAUAGAGUAUAAUAUCUUUAUAUAAGGCCACUGCUUUUCUUUCUACUGUUUUUGUACUACUUUUCUAUUACUGUCAGUCAUCACAUAACCAUAAGAUAAUUUAUUUUCAUCGAGAUGCAUGCACAGUUGAUGUUCGCUGCAAAGCACUUUAUAGUAUAAUUUUCAGUUGUUUAUUUAUGUCUGUUUGUAGACUUUGUUCUUCCCUUUCUAAUACAGUUAUUUAAAUUUAAUAUAAAGCUGCACUAAGCAAGAUUUAUAUAUAUAAAAAAAAUGAAUUUUUGUCUAAAUCACAAAGUAGGGCUGCAAAAGAGAAUAUCCCAUCCACACAAACUGAGACCACAAACUGUACAUUCACCUUUUUAUUUCUGGUGUCAGGUUUAGAUGCUUCUCUGCAGACAGGAUGUGGAAACUUAAAACUGACAGACAGAACAAACUGUCUCAUAAACAGCAGCGAGAGUUCAGCACAGCAAAAGAUGCAAGUGUCAGCGUUCCGUGUUAUGAGCUGGUUAAAUUCUUCUGUAAUGCCAUGUUACAGGGAUUUCAGAAAAUGUAAAGUUUAAAAGGUCAGUUCAACCAAAUCACAAACAAAUCACUCACCCACACAGGCUAAUUCAGAUAGUUCUGAAGAAAAGGAUUUUGAAGAUGGAUUUUUUGAAUAGUUUUUUUUUUUUUUUGAGUAAGAAUGCCCAACGAAAAUACUGAUCCCAGACUCUCAAAUGUGAGGAUUUGCUCAUUUUUCUGUUUCAUAUUCAAUUUGACAAACAAUUUGAUAUGUCACUUUGAACUGAGAAAAUAAUCUACACAUGAAUCAAUCAAUUAAUGGAAAUUAAUGUAAUGGAAAUAAUUCUUAGUUGCAGCCUUGUUGGUUUUAUUUGCAGAGGUUUUCCCUCCAAGCACAAUUGGAAAAAUAGUUUUUUUCAGAUUUCCAGUUCCCAUAAUUUGGGAGAUAUAAACAGAAAUUAUAACGUUGCUAGUAGCCAGUAUUUGUUUACAUUUCGCUAAAUUAGCACCCAUGAAAGUAUGCUGAAUUAGCUGUUAGCAGUUCCUGUUCGUAGUGUGCCUAUGGACGUAUACACAACUGUCACUGAAUCACUCUGACAAUGAAGAAAAUUUCAUGACUUCCAGGGAAGUUCUGCCGUUAUAAGAAGCGUCUUUGUUUCUUUGAUUUCUAAGGGAAUUUAUGGGCAUUUAUAUGCGACUGACUUCAGAGCUAAUGGUGUCCUCGGGAAGUAAAAGUCAGGUUGAAUCAAAAAAUAUGUGUAUUAUAUAUGUGUGUUCAGAUUUGAGUGAGUUAUUGCGAUUUUUGGCGCAAACUGCAGAAAUUGGGCGCUAAGGUUUUUAAAGUACCUUAAUGGUUUGAAAAUUGAAAAGUGUGGAUGAUCCUCAGCAAAUAAAACUAAGAGUAACUGUAUAAUUUGAUGGCAAAAGUGGAGUAAGUUGGAAAAUGUGUUUUUGUGAUUUGCAUGAAUUGGCCCUUUAAUUUAUUUGUUACCUCUCAUCGCCAUGUGCAGCUGGAGUCGCCUAGUGUAGCUUUAACUGUCCGUCUUUGUAUAAUCUCUUGUAUUUCAGUUUUCAUGAAUCAUUACUGGACUGACAUGACGGAUGACAAACAGGCACUAAUUGUUUAAAAAGAGAGAUUUUAAGGAAAUUGUAAGAGUUUGGUUUCAUGUCUGCACUUUCUAUUAUUUGAGGAAUAAAAAGAUAAUUGUUAUUUAAUAAAAGUCAAUAAAACUGAA